GAAAAGAAAGAAAGAAAGAAAACCCCAGUCUAUGCAAGUCUGGAAAAUAUUGCUUUAGCCAUCUGUGAACAGUAGGAAAAUUCAAUAAUCAAACACAUUUCACAUCGAUCACAGCAAAGAAAGAGAACUUUUAGUUAUGCUUACCCAGCUAUUGAAGCAACCAGUAAUACAGAUUUGUAUCUGGUUUCUAUCAGUUUAUGGACUCCAAUCCUGUUACCAGAACAUUUUAAUUCCAAACCUGGCUCCUUGUGGGAGGGUUGGGGGGGAAGAAACAAAUCUGUCUUCCUAGUGGUUGCAAAGGUACUCCCAGUUCCUUUGUAAAAUAAUCCUUGUAGCUGGACUCCUAAGGCACCAGGAACUCUUCUCCCCAGCCCUCAGUUAAGCACCUAGGAGUGAAUGGAAAGUAGCCGCGCGAUGACGGUGAAGGCGUUGUGUGAUCCAGCCGAGGCAGCACAGAGUGCACGGCUGGAUCCCGUCACGGCAGGAGCGCCUCUCCCUCGUGAUGCUCUAGCAGCCAUUUUACCACAGCUGAGGCCUGCAAGCGUUUCAAAAUGCCAGAAGUACUGUUGUUUUCCUUCUGUGUCUCAGAUAAAGAGACAGAAAUCAGCUCUUGGGACUUCAUGCAGAGAUUGCACCUGGGGCAGUUGCAAAGGAGGAGGCCGCAUAACUGUUCAAAUGUCUCACAGAAGCCCGUCAUAUCCUAGCCGUUACUAACUGGGACGUUUCAUGCUUUCUUAUCCUCUUCAUAAAGGCACACCUGAGUACAGCCAGGCAUGAGGACUGCUGUAAAUAUUAGCUCCUUUGUUAGCUGAAUGCUUCCUCUCUCAUCGCUGAAACAAGACAGCUAAAUUCAACAAUGAAAGCACUACUAAACCGCAGCUCUGGUUAUUAUCCCAACUCCUUAGUACGUCACUAUUUUGAAUAAAG
Molecule: long non-coding RNA, 927 nt
Filed under: Struthio camelus australis
Lineage: Eukaryota; Metazoa; Chordata; Aves; Struthioniformes; Struthionidae
Description: lncRNA (ENSSCUG00000008794.1)
Source: RNAcentral